AACAUUUAUUGUUUUUAGCUCUCGGUAAUUAAAUCUUUGAAAUGUUUUAAAUUCUCGUGUGUUAAACAAAAAUAGUAACUAUGUCUGCAUCUGAAGAUGAAGAAGGUGGUACCAGUGCCGCAGCGAGUGGCAGCGUGAAAAUCACGAAGACCGAUAGAGUAUCCAUCGCCUUGCUAGGAAUAAAAAGAGAAGCUUCAAGGAAGAACCCCUUCUUCAAAACUAUCUCUACAACCCAAGUUUCCAAAUACUAUCUGUUCGGGCCAAUUGAAGAGAACUUCCAGCAUGUGAUAUUUUACCUACAACUCGAAAACACUGCGUGUCACCAGCUUGAAUAAUAAUCUUUCUGCCAUAUUGCCCCGUUCGGUUAUCGAGGAGUAUACAUCUGCUUUGAAAAAUGUCCCUGUGGGCUCGGUUCUGUGGCAAAAGGGGCAAUUCUUUGUCUGUACAGAGAAGUCAAGUAAAACCUGCUACAAUCUAGACACUAUUCUAGAGGUGAGUCUUUCCUUUUCAAAACAAUUAAAUUAGAAUCAUGAAAGAAAUUUAAGAGAACUAUUCAAUCUUG
Molecule: long non-coding RNA, 562 nt
Filed under: Bemisia tabaci
Lineage: Eukaryota; Metazoa; Arthropoda; Insecta; Hemiptera; Aleyrodidae
Description: lncRNA ENSSSA1NGG005302
Source: RNAcentral